Molecule: long non-coding RNA, 299 nt
Filed under: Coturnix japonica (Japanese quail)
Lineage: Eukaryota; Metazoa; Chordata; Aves; Galliformes; Phasianidae
Description: lncRNA (ENSCJPG00005018056.1)
Source: RNAcentral
GUUUGAUUCUGUAUUGUGGAUCAGAGGAAAUGUGACAGUUUGUCUUGAAAUAAAUUUCCCUGGCUCUAAACAAGCAUUUUAGAACCCCCAGCAGGAUUUUGAUGUUAGCUUAAGGAAAAGUAAAUGUUUGCUCGGCUCCAUCUUCAAACACUCUCAGCAUUUUGACCACCGUGUAUAGCACUCAUCUGAAGUCUUCCCAUGCUACUUUUAACUCCUCUGCUUCCAUGGUAUAUUGAAAUUAAUUAUACAGCCUUCUUCCCUUUCAGAUGAAUGUUACUGCUUUGUUAAGUAAAUCCCAG